UAAGCAGGUAUAUUAUUUACUUGAGCUUGAGAAAAGGUGUUGGAUUAAUUACAAUGCAAAUGCAUACUUUACAAAUGCAGAUAUCCAUUAUCUUGGGGUUUAUCUUUUUGCUUGCAUGGGGUAUGGUGACUCCUGGUAAACACCGAGGCAGCUCUUCCAGCAUCGUUGUAACAGAUCUCUCUCACAGAAGAUCUCUGUAACACCAUCGCCAAAUUAAAGCUCAAUCCAACCAGCUAUGAAACUAUAGGACUCUGUUUAUUUCUGUACAAGACUGAGACCCUAUAUCUGGAUCUCAAAUUAAAGACAAAACAUGAAUGUUACAAGACUUUCAGGACUAUUAAGCUAUUUCAAUAGUAUUUAAGAUUAUUUUAAAUGACUAGUCAGAAUUUAUGCCAAAACCAUUAAGAUACAUGUUUUAUAAUCUAGGGCUAUCAAUAAUUCUACAUGGCAAGACGUUUACUCCAGAAGUCAGACCAGGUUAAGUAUUUAGUUAUUAAUUAUCUCAAAUGCCUUUUUUUUGUGUCUGUUGGGUAAAGAACAUAGAGGUAAUAAAAUUCAUGAGACAUUCUGCUACUUUUAUGCUGCUUCUUCAACGCUCAAAGAAACCUAGACUGUUCAGACACUACAAGAUGUCCUGAAACUAAGGUCUUGUAUUCGCUGUUAAUUACUCACAAUUCAACAUUUAAAAAAGCCUAACACAUAUUAUUAGCUAUACAGUGCCACAGUUGUGCAUUGGAAGUUUACAGACAUAACACAUCACCCUUUUUCACAGGAAUUUAUAAUUUAUACACAAUGACAUGACAGAUAGACAUGAUUAUCAGACAAGAAGUGCAAAACGACGUACAACUAGUUGCUUUCAACUUAUAUGCAUUAUCUUCCAUUUCCACAUUAUUUUUAUUAAGUGGCUCGUGAGCACCCCAGCUCACACUUACAUUUUGUAUACACGGAGCUUAAUACAAUCUUCUGUAGUUUCACAUUCAUAACAUCUUUAAACUAACAAUUACUGACAUUUAAAUUCAAGUGUAAAAUCCAGACUACAAGCAUUCUUUGUAUAUGCAUUCUUCAAGUUACACAAAACCUACAAGGUAUGCCACUCUUAAAUAUGCCUACUUCCAGGAAAAGGCUGCAUAAGGUACAUUUUUAUUAGAUUAUUCACAGCAAUAAAAUCAAUAUUGUGCAUACAACAGCAGAUCAGUCUCCUGCUGCGGUUGAGUAGCACCUGUUUUCAAAUUAUUUCUGAAAUAGUUCUACUUGCUUUAAUCUCCCACUGUGCUGAGCCUCAGCAGCACUCCAGUGUGACUCUCCAGGCUUAGACAUACUGCAGAUGCCAUUUUGUAUAAUUUUAUGGAUACAGCUCGCCAUGAUUAGAAAAUAAGUUCUAAUCACAGAAAAAACAUCCUAGAACAUCCAGUGCUAAAGGGACAUCAAUGACACUUCUGGCUGAUGUGACAAUGUGGUCAUCUCACUUUGGUCAGAGAGACACGAUGCAAUGCGAGAUGAACAGUGGGUGACUCUGCCCUUGAAGAUGACAUGUAUCAGAACUAAACAAUCAGCUUGUGGAGAUGCCAGAUCCAGUUAUACAUACAGAUUCCUGCAUUUCUAAAAUACACUUGAUGCUGCAGAAUUGUCACAAUUACUUUCUCUUCCUACAAUUUCAUCUGGAAAUCAGUAUUAAUCAAAUCUGUGAACAGAAUUAUCUUCAUGCAUCUUUUUUGAGAUUCCUGAAGCUUCAUCCUUAACAGGUUUGUGCCAGUGAAUGAUACUGGUAUCUCACAGUCAAAACACAGAACUUCACUUGCAGUAAGUGGUCCUAAGAAACAAUUCCGCUCCCAAACCAACCACCCCCCCCUUUCCUGGUACUGCAGAAGGCUUGGCAUGCACAAGUACCGGCAGGCUAAAAGUUACUGUAACGACAAAGAGAUAAAGUGGGGAAAUGUUGAACUGUUUGAGAGCUUACUGACUGCAGAGCACUGAAGGGCACUAAGCUGAACUUCCCAGGCUUUUACACACACAUGCAAAUAAUCAUUUGGGUUGAAACCGGUCCUGCUAAACUUACUUCCUUCCAAAGCAAGUUGGAAAGUUUGAAAAAUACCAACUGAACCCACUUCUGAGAACUACUGCUGUGAAAUGUUUAUGUAUUUCUGGCAUUUUAAACUAGUUCCAACAUUGCCUUAUCAAAUGCACCACUUUCAAUACUAUUCAGCAAAUUUUUAAGACCCCUGUCCAUGAAAAAGCAUCACAUCCAAGAUUUAGCUCUUCAAAGCCUCAGUCUCAGCUUUCACUAACAUUUAUACACACCCACAUUUUCUACAUACCAUCUUUGCGCAUGCUCUGAAAUGACUCAGCCUUAACCAUGCCAAAUGCAUUAAUAUUAAUCGGCAUCUCCCUGGAAUUCACAAGCAGGUUGUUUUUUAGCUCUCCCAUCACAGGAGUUCAUCCC
Molecule: long non-coding RNA, 2440 nt
Filed under: Strigops habroptila (Kakapo)
Lineage: Eukaryota; Metazoa; Chordata; Aves; Psittaciformes; Psittacidae
Description: lncRNA (ENSSHBG00005020579.1)
Source: RNAcentral